RNAcentral lists this ribosomal RNA (88 nucleotides) under Weissella thailandensis fsh4-2. Lineage: Bacteria; Bacillati; Bacillota; Bacilli; Lactobacillales; Lactobacillaceae. The record is from RNAcentral.
AGGUCACACCUGUUCCCAUACCGAACACAGCAGUUAAGCUCAGUAGCGCCAAAAGUAGUUGGAGGAUCGCCUCCUGUGAGGAUAGGAC